UGGGGAAUCUUGGACAAUGGGGGCAACCCUGAUCCAGCCAUGCCGCGUGUGUGAAGAAGGCCUUCGGGUUGUAAAGCACUUUCAGCAGGGAGGAAGGCUUUGGGCUAAUACCCUGGAGUACUUGACGUUACCUGCAGAAGAAGCACCGGCUAAUUUCGUGCCAGCAGCCGCGGUAAUACGAAAGGUGCAAGCGUUAAUCGGAAUUACUGGGCGUAAAGCGCGCGUAGGCGGUGUGUUAAGUCGGAUGUGAAAGCCCAGGGCUCAACCUUGGAAUUGCAUCCGAUACUGGCACGCUAGAGUGCAGUAGAGGGAGGUGGAAUUUCCGGUGUAGCGGUGAAAUGCGUAGAGAUCGGAAGGAACACCAGUGGCGAAGGCGGCCUCCUGGACUGACACUGACGCUGAGGUGCGAAAGCGUGGGGAGCAAACAGGAUUAGAUACCCCGGUA
Molecule: ribosomal RNA, 445 nt
Filed under: uncultured bacterium
Lineage: Bacteria
Description: bacterial SSU rRNA
Rfam family: Bacterial small subunit ribosomal RNA
Source: RNAcentral